RNAcentral lists this long non-coding RNA (238 nucleotides) under Brassica napus (rape). Its description in RNAcentral is "long non-coding RNA (BNAP_LNC025907)". Lineage: Eukaryota; Viridiplantae; Streptophyta; Magnoliopsida; Brassicales; Brassicaceae. The record is from RNAcentral.
AAGUUUACUUCAAGCUCCGCAGAAGAGAAUUCUCGAGAAAGUGUUUAUUAAAAAAUAUAAAAUUCCGAGCCCAUACUCCUAUAAAUAGUGAGCUAUUGUCAUUCAUUUGCUUCACACCUUCCCUUCUUCAAACCUCCAAAACCUCUAUAGCUCCAAAUCUUUUGCCUUUAACAUGUCUUCUUCCCAUGGUGCAAGAGAAAUUCUGAUGUCGAGAUGGGCGAGGCCACCUCCCUGGCUC